Molecule: transfer RNA, 68 nt
Filed under: Spilogale gracilis leucoparia
Lineage: Eukaryota; Metazoa; Chordata; Mammalia; Carnivora; Mephitidae
Description: tRNA-Cys
Rfam family: tRNA
About the family: Transfer RNA (tRNA) molecules are approximately 80 nucleotides in length. Their secondary structure includes four short double-helical elements and three loops (D, anti-codon, and T loops). Further hydrogen bonds mediate the characteristic L-shaped molecular structure. tRNAs have two regions of fundamental functional importance: the anti-codon, which is responsible for specific mRNA codon recognition, and the 3' end, to which the tRNAs corresponding amino acid is attached (by aminoacyl-tRNA synthetases). tRNAs cope with the degeneracy of the genetic code in two manners: having more than one tRNA (with a specific anti-codon) for a particular amino acid; and 'wobble' base-pairing, i.e. permitting non-standard base-pairing at the 3rd anti-codon position.
Source: RNAcentral
AAGCUCUGUGGUGAAUUUCAUAUUGAAUUGCAAAUUCAAAGAAGCAGCUUCAAUUCUGCCGGGGCUUC